GCGUGCCUAACACAUGCAAGUCGAACGAGAAAGCUCCUUCGGGAGUGAGUAGAGUGGCGCACGGGUGAGUAACACGUGGAUAAUCUGCCUGAUAAUCUGGGAUAACAUUUCGAAAGGAAUGCUAAUACCGGAUAAGCCCACAGCCUCUUCGGAGGCAGCGGGAAAAGAUGGCCUCUUCUUGAAAGCUAUUGUUAUCAGAUGAGUCCGCGGUCCAUUAGCUAGUUGGUAGGGUAAUGGCCUACCAAGGCGACGAUGGAUAGCUGGUUUGAGAGAAUGAUCAGCCACACUGGAACUGAGACACGGUCCAGACUCCUACGGGAGGCAGCAGUGGGGAAUUUUGCGCAAUGGGGGAAACCCUGACGCAGCAACGCCGCGUGAGUGAUGAAGGUUUUCGGAUCGUAAAGCUCUGUCAAGAGGGAAGAAACCUCCAACGGCUAAUACCUGUUGGAAUUGACGGUACCUCUAGAGGAAGCACCGGCUAACUCCGUGCCAGCAGCCGCGGUAAUACGGAGGGUGCAAGCGUUGUUCGGAAUUAUUGGGCGUAAAGCGCGUGUAGGCGGUUAGUUAAGUCUGAUGUGAAAGCCCCGGGCUCAACCUGGGAAGUGCAUUGGAUACUGGCAAACUUGAGUACGGGAGAGGGAAGUGGAAUUUCGAGUGUAGGGGGUGAAAUCCGUAGAUAUUCGAAGGAACACCAGUGGCGAAGGCGGCUUCCUGGACCGAUACUGACGCUGAGACGCGAAAGCGUGGGGAGCAAACAGGAUUAGAUACCCUGGUAGUCCACGCCGUAAACGAUGGGUACUAGGUGUUGCGGGUAUUGACCCCUGCAGUGCC
Molecule: ribosomal RNA, 831 nt
Filed under: uncultured bacterium
Lineage: Bacteria
Description: bacterial SSU rRNA
Rfam family: Bacterial small subunit ribosomal RNA
Source: RNAcentral